Molecule: unclassified non-coding RNA, 379 nt
Filed under: uncultured Oligoflexaceae bacterium
Lineage: Bacteria; Pseudomonadati; Bdellovibrionota; Oligoflexia; Oligoflexales; Oligoflexaceae
Description: contains 16S-23S intergenic spacer region
Source: RNAcentral
UCCCCGUUCACCGGGGCAGUCCCCUCAGAGUGCCCGGCAUGACCCGGUAGCAACAAAGGGCAAGGGUUGCGCUCGUUGCGGGACUUAACCGGACAUCUUACGACACGAGCUGACGACAGCCAUGCAGCACCUAUCUCCACGUCCCCGAAGGGAAAGCCACAUCUCUGUGGAUGUCGUGGGAUGUUAAGGGUAGGUAAGGUUCUGCGCGUUGCUUCGAAUUAAACCACAUACUCCACCGCUUGUGCGGGCCCCCGUCAAUUCCUUUGAGUUUUAGCCUUGCGACCGUACUCCCCAGGCGGGGUACUUAACGCGUUAGCUUUGGUACUCAGGAGGUUAAUUUCCCAAACACCUAGUAUCCAUAGUUUACGGCGUGGACUAC